This 400-nucleotide ribosomal RNA is filed under the name uncultured bacterium. RNAcentral's name for it is "bacterial SSU rRNA". It matches the Rfam family "Bacterial small subunit ribosomal RNA", at positions 355 to 772 of the family's 1533-position model. The record is from RNAcentral.
UGAGGAAUUUUCCACAAUGGGCGAAAGCCUGAUGGAGCAAUACCGCGUGAAGGAUGACGGUCUUCGGAUUGUAAACUUCUUUUUAAUGGGAAGAUUAUGACGGUACCAUUUGAAUAAGCAUCGGCUAACUACGUGCCAGCAGCCGCGGUAAUACGUAGGAUGCAAGCGUUAUCCGGAAUUAUUGGGCGUAAAGAGUGUGUAGGCGGCACGUUAAGUUAAAUGUUAAAUCUAUGGGCUCAACUCAUAGGCUGCAUUUAAUACUGGCGAGCUCGAGGUAUGGAGAGGUAAGCGGAAUUAGCGGUGUAGCAGUGAAAUGCGUAGAUAUCGCUAGGAACACCAAUGGCGAAGGCAGCUUACUGGCCAUAUACUGACGCUGAGACACGAAAGCGUGGGGAGCGAA